This 355-nucleotide unclassified non-coding RNA is filed under the name soil metagenome. Its description in RNAcentral is "partial contains 5.8S ribosomal RNA, internal transcribed spacer 2, and large subunit ribosomal RNA". The stretch from base 1 to 120 matches the Rfam family "5.8S ribosomal RNA", at positions 35 to 154 of the family's 154-position model. The record is from RNAcentral.
GAUGAAGAACGCAGCGAAAUGCGAUAAGUAAUGUGAAUUGCAGAAUUUAGUGAAUCAUCGAAUCUUUGAACGCACAUUGCGCCCGCCAGUAUUCUGGCGGGCAUGCCUGUCCGAGCGUCAUUUCAACCCUCGAACCCCUCCGGGGGGUCGGCGUUGGGGAUCGGCCCUGCCUCUUGGCGGUGGCCGUCUCCGAAAUACAGUGGCGGUCUCGCCGCAGCCUCUCCUGCGCAGUAGUUUGCACACUCGCAUCGGGAGCGCGGCGCGUCCACAGCCGUUAAACACCCAACUUCUGAAAUGUUGACCUCGGAUCAGGUAGGAAUACCCGCUGAACUUAAGCAUAUCAAUAAGCGGAGGA